RNAcentral lists this unclassified non-coding RNA (1911 nucleotides) under Hevea brasiliensis (rubber tree). The record is from RNAcentral. Lineage: Eukaryota; Viridiplantae; Streptophyta; Magnoliopsida; Malpighiales; Euphorbiaceae.
GAAAUUUAUUGGUAUCCUUCUUUCAGAGAUUUUCUUGUUUCAUGGAUUCUGUUACCCUCAUCCACAGAAAGCUUCACAAUUACAUUACACAUUUGUUCGCGAUGCAACUUCAGCACCAGUAGUCCUGUACUAUGACUACAUUAUCAUCGGUGGAGGAACUUCAGGGUGUCCGUUAGCUGCAACUCUAUCUAAGAAUGCAACUGUUCUAGUACUUGAAAGAGGAGGCUCCCCCUAUGGCAAUUCUAACAUAACCAACAUUGGAAACUUCGUUGCCUCUCUUUCUGAUACGUCUCCCAAUUCCCCUUCCCAACUCUUCAUCUCCGAGGAUGGAGUAUACAACACUCGUGCACGUGUUCUUGGGGGCGGAAGCUCACUGAACGCCGGAUUUUACACUCACGCUGGUUCUGAUUUUGUGAAGGAAGCUAGAUUGAGUGAAAAGUUGGCUAAUGCGUCUUAUAAAUGGGUUGAGAAGAAGAUUGCAUUCGAGCCAACAAUGUUACAAUGGCAAUCAGCAGUGAGGGAUGGGUUGAUACAAGCAGGGGUGUCUCCUUACAAUGGGUUUACCUAUGAUCAUUUUUCUGGAACUAAAAUUGGAGGCACAAUCUUUGAUAGGGAUGGUCACAGGCACACUGCUGCCGAUCUACUGGAGUACGCUGUCCCAAGAAAUAUUCUUGUUUAUUUACAUGCUACUGCACUCAAGAUCUUGUUUACAGGAAGAGAACAUUGUGAAUACAGGGAGACCAUGGCCAAGACCAAGAGCUUAUGGGGUGACAUUUGAAGAUAAGUUGGGCAUAAGGCACACGGCGCUCUUGAAUAGGAACUGGUGGAGUGAGAUUAUCUUGUCAGCUGGUGCAAUAGGAAGCCCACAACUACUAAUGCUCAGCGGCAUUGGACCUGCUUAUCAUCUUCGAGCCCAUGGAAUUCCUGUCGUGUUCGACCAGCCCAUGGUGGGUCAAGGGAUGGCGGAUAACCCAAUGAAUCUUCUGUUUGUUCCCUCCCCUAUUCCCGUUGAGAUCUCACUGAUUCAAGUUGUGGGGAUCACUCAAUUUGGUAGCUUCAUCGAGACAGCAAGUGGUUUGACCUUCGGUUACUCUUGGGCUCAAGGAUUUAUUAGGGACUAUGAACUGUCCUUAAACAAGACAGGCCAGCAGUCCAUAUUGACCCCAGAAGCCAUGGCAAGGGCUGUUGAAACCGUGAAUUCCCUUGUGAAUGCAACACUAAAGGGUGGAGUUAUUCUAGAGAAGGUCAUGGGUCCACGCUCCACAGGCGAUCUGAAGCUCAAGACCACAAAUCCAUACGAUAACCCAACAGUGAAAUUCAACUACUUCAAAGAUCCAUUGGACUUGAAGAAGUGUGUCAAAGGAAUGAAAACCAUUAUCGACGUAAUAAACUCAAAAGCAUUUUCAAAAUUUCGUUACAGACACAUACCGGUGCAAACUCUGAUCAGCUUGAUGGCAAAUCUGCCAGUGAACUUGAGACCAAGACAUGUUACUACAGCAAUUUCCUUGGAACAAUUUUGCAUAGACACUGUCAUGACCAUAUGGCAUUAUCACGGAGGUUGCCAAAUUGGCAAGGUUAUUGAUCGUAAAUAUAGGGUUCGGGGUGUUAAUGGACUAAGGGUUAUUGAUGGCUCUACUUUUCUUCGCUCACCUGGGACUAAUCCUCAAGCUACUGUUAUGAUGCUUGGAAGAUACAUGGGGAGGAGGAUGAUGCGUGAGAGAAUUUCUAAGAUGAGGACAACGAUAAAUUAUUGACAGUCAAAGUGAUGUACUCUGGAUGUUACGUUGUAUAGUAUCAAAAUACAAGUGAAUUUCAUCGCUUCGACUGUUGGGUUAUUGAUUAUUAAUUUUUUUUUUCUCUUCUUUGUCAGAGAAAUCUUUCAAAAUUAAGUUAUGACAGAGUGAAUUCAAG